Polyodon spathula (Mississippi paddlefish) is the source of this 7789-nucleotide RNA transcript. It is a transcript of the gene named zinc finger protein DPF3-like, with no coding region annotated. The record is from RefSeq and is a predicted model, not a curated record. NCBI's taxonomy places the organism in Eukaryota, Metazoa, Chordata, Actinopteri, Acipenseriformes, Polyodontidae. The transcript has 10 exons.
UGGCUGCUCCCCUCGAUGGGCUUCUUCAGAACUCCGAGACACACAAUAUUGGGUUACAGUAUAGCAAAAUGGCGACUGUCAUUCACAAUCCUCUCAAAGCCCUGGGUGAUCAGUUCUAUAAGGAGGCUAUUGAGCACUGCCGCAGCUACAAUGCCCGUCUGUGUGCAGAGCGCAGCGUGCGGCUGCCCUUCCUCGACUCCCAGACCAGGGUGGCACAGAACAACUGCUACAUAUGGAUGGAGAAACGCCACCGGGGACCAGGGCUGGCGUCUGGACAGAUGUACACGUACCCGGCUCGCUGCUGGAGGAAGAAGAGACGAUUGCACCCUCCUGAAGACCCCCAGCUCCGCCUUUGUGAGCUCAGACUGGAGGGAGAGCUUCCUCAGAGGAAGGAGGGCCAGCUGGCUGAGGGGACCACACUGGAGGCCCUGCUGAGGGGAGAGGGGCUGGACAAGAACAGCUCCAAGGACGAGGAGAGCCUGCUAGAGAUCCAGAGGGUUCUGGAGGCCGACGAGAACGGAGAUGGUUACCAUGACGACGACGAUUUUGAAGUUGACACUCCAAAGCGAAAACACAGGACCAAAGGACGAGGCCGUGGCUCGGGCAGGAGAAGGACGGAGGCUGCAGUCAUGGACGACCAGGACAAGCCCUAUGUGUGUGACAUCUGCGGGAAGCGCUACAAGAACCGCCCAGGUCUCAGCUACCACUACGCCCACACCCACCUGGCAGACGAGGAGGGGGAGGAUGAGAGAGACGAGGAGCCAGCGUGCUCCCCGCCAGCCCCCAAGCGCACUGACAACCACAAACCUCAGAAGGGCCCAGACGGGACCAUCAUUCCCAAUAACUACUGUGAUUUCUGCCUGGGGGAUUCGGGCUCCAACAGGAAGACUGGCCACGCGGAGCAGCUUGUCUCCUGCUCUGAUUGCGGGCGAUCUGCUGCCCGUGGCCGAGGGACUGAGGAGAGGAAGACGGGCUGCGGCACGGAGGACUUGUUUGGGGCCACCUCGGAAAGCGACACCUCCACGUUUCACGGCUUUGACGAUGAAGAUUUUGAUGAGCCUCUGUCCAACGACAGCAUGGGCUCCCCCAGAUGCAGAUAGAAAAUAAAUGGAAAACAAAAACUCUGAAAAAGUCUGCUGCUGCUUUUUUUUUCCUGAAUAGAAUGCUAUUUUUUUCGGACAAUUUUGCUGCUUUUUUUUUUUUUCUGGAGCCUUAAGCUUUUUUUUAUUAUUGUUUGACUCUGCGGAAGCAAUAGAGGGAUGGAACGCCACUUUUGAGGAACGAUGAUCCGCAGCAAGUUUAUUUAAUUAAUUUAAUGUAAUUUUAUUUAAUACAGAAGCAUCCUGAUGCAUUUAGUUUGAGUUAAAUGAUGUUUAAAAACUGAAACCCUGAAAAUGUGGAUUGAUUUGUACAAUAUGUUGUGGUAGAGAAAGCAACCAGCCUGUGUGAAAAUUAAAAGAAGAAAAAAAAAGACUUUUGUUAAAACACAAGGAAACAAAAUAAAAUCUGUUCAAUUGGAUAUUUGUGAAAGAAGGAGAAAAAAUAAUAGCCUUGCCGAUCCUCACUGUCAAUAAUGGAUUUCGGGAAUGUAACAAAAGUUUAAAAGAAGAUUCACCACUAGAAAACCCACUUGAACUCUGUCUGAUUGUGACCACCUAGCGCAGCCACAGAGGAUCCUGGGAGCUGGGGAUGGGGGGAGUCAGGGAGGGGGGGUCAGGAGACCCUCUGGCACCAUGCAGGGAGCCAGUCUGGAAAGCUGAAAGGAUCCAGCCAGCUCCAGGUUCCAGCCCCCUAGCCACAAGACGGAGGUGCAGCCCCCCCUCUCCCCUCCCCCUCCACCUGGACCAGGACCCCAGGGAGGGAGACAGCAGGCCAGACAGCUCCCAAAUUCACGUAGCAGGCAGACUUGCCCAUUGGACUGCUUCAAUAGUGCAAUACAGCCAUAGGCAUCACUGAUGUUUCAGGAAGACAAAACCAGUUGAACUGCAAAAUCUGGAAUAAUAAUAAUAAUAAUAAUAAUAAUAAUAAUAUAAUAAUAAUAAUAAUAAUAAUAGAAAAAGAAGUUGCAAUUUGUAUUUUAGGUAUUUAACAUUUUUGAAAAUGUGCUGCUUAGUGCAAAUAGCUUGGUUUUAUUUUUCGUUCUUGAUUUAUGUUUGGUGGUGUACAUUUCUGUUUUUUUUGUUUUUUUUUAAAGGGAAAAUAAAUUAAUUUAAAAAAGAUAUACUUUGUAAGUUUAAUAAAGGACUGUGCCUAGGGUGAGACAUGAAGCAGGGUUCAGCCCACUUGUUGUUUUGCUGAUACCUGUACAAGGUUGAACACUGAUUCAGUUUAUUUGGCCUGUGUUCAUCUACCUGAAGCAAACAAUGCAGCAGCAACAUAGCAGGUAUACAGAACAAGUGAUAGUGUAAAUCCUUAAAAAAAAUUAAAAACUUAACAGGAUGCAUUUGGAAGUUGAGGCAGAUUCAGGAUAGAGGGUAGGAGACACUUUUGGGUGUCUGGAAUCAGUCACUGGGCUCUGUCUGGAUGCAGUCCUGUGAUCAGUUAGUUAUCAGGAUCCUGGAUGCAGUCCUGGGAUCAGUUAGUUAUCAGGAUCCGGGAUGCAGUCCUGGGAUCAGUUAGUUAUCAGGAUCCGGGAUGCAGUCCUGGGAUCAGUUAGUUAUCAGGAUCCGGGAUGCAGUCCUGGGAUCAGUUAGUUAUCAGGAUCCGGGAUGCAGUCCUGGGAUCAGUUAGUUAUCAGGAUCCGGGAUGCAGUCCUGGGAUCAGUUAGUUAUCAGGAUCCGGGAUGCAGUCCUGGGAUCAGUUAGUUAUCAGGAUCCGGGAUGCAGCCCUGGGAUCAGUUAGUUAUCAGGAUCCGGGAUGCAGUCCUGGGAUCAGUUAGUUAUUAGGGUCCUGGAUGCAGUCCUGGGAUCAGUUAGUUAUCAGGAUCCUGGUUGCAGUCCUGGUAUCAGUUAGAUUACAUUAAGUCACAUUAAGAGGACUGUGUGUGUGCUGAUUAUCCACGAACGGGACAUGAAGCUUUCACAGGUGUGUGUGGCUAGUUCGUCACGUAGGCAAAAAUAGAAAAGAGAAAAGAAAUAAGCAGUUUCUUUCAGUAUUUCUAAAUUUUGUGUAAAUGCUGAGCGUUAGGGAUCCUACCUUGCUCACCUCUGUUAUGGCUACAGAAUACAAAGUUUAAUAUUUGUUCACACUAGUAUAGGACACUUUUUUAAAUGAAUUAUAAUUCACGUUUCACCAAAAAGAAAAAAAAAUCGAAAUCCAUUUUAUUCAGGUAUGAAUUUCUGAUUCAUCCAUCUGACAAUGUUUAUUCAGAGCAGAAUUUUACACUGCAAGAAUCAUUUUCCAGCAUUGAGGAAUCAAACACCUCUCCCUGGUUCUCCUGGGAUCACCCUUUGAUGCAGCUGUAUUUACAACUUUUUUUUUUUUUUUGGUGCACCUAAUUUCAUUUAUACAUUUUGCAUGCAAUUACAAUUCAGGAGCACAGUAUGUGCGUGUGUGUGUGCGUGUGCGUGUGUGUGUGUGUGUGUGUGUGUGUCUAUAUAUAUAUAUAUAUAUAGACACACACACACACACACACACACUGGUAUAUAAGUGUAAAUUAGGUAAAUAUGACUGAAGACAGACAAUGUGGAUGAGGACCUAUUCAUUGUUGUGUAUUUAUUGACUUGUAUUGUUAUGUGAACUGUUUGGUGUAUUGUUAUAUAUAUAUUUGGUAGUUAAGGCUAUACUUUUUUAAUAGGGAGCUUGCUGUUAAUACAGGGAGGGGCUAGAGAGAUAAAAGGCAAGUUUGCAAACUACCUGUGUCAAUAGUUGACAAGUGACAAGUAGGUCAAAAAUAUAAAAUACAUCUUGGCUGGACUUUUUGCAUGUAGUCUGUGUGGUGAUGGCUUGGAGAAAUGAUCCCCCUGACAAAUUCCUUUGGUGCUGGAAAAUGAACAGUGGAACAGAUUAAAGUGAAAGUUUGCUCUGCGGAAUUCGUAUCGUGAAUAUGUUAUGUGUUAUUUUGAAACGCAUAAACUACAGUAACCUAAUUAUGUUCCCUCAGUAGAGCGCUCUCGGAUUAAUCGCGCCCUUGGCUAUAACGUGCAUAAUUAAUGUCUCCUAAUUUUUUAUUUUUUAUUUUUUUUUACAGUUUUACAAGGCUAUGUGCUUACUUUUUGUGUAUUGCAUUCCCGUAUUUGAUUUGCAGCACCAUGCUCUCCCUGUUAUCCAACGCAGUAAGCAAACAGCAGAGCUUGCAUUAUCUAACAGUGUGAUGCAACUAAUCAAGUAACGUGUAAACUGCUUUGGGUCCUUAGAAAAGAACAGUAAAAACACAGCUUCAGUAACAUGAACACCAUUGACAGCUCUGAGGCUUACUGUUUCAAUUAAAGUAUCAUUGACUCAACACAGAUUUUACAUUUAAAAAUAAGAGAGUAGGCAAUACACAUGUCUGUACUUAGCAUUAAUUUCCCACCCGUUGUAUUCUGUUUAUAGAAAUGCAUAUGACUGCACUCCUUUUGCAUUUAAUAUUUCAGUUUUACGGUACUUUUUUCUUUUUGUUUUAUUUCAUACACAGGGUGCUUGGUGUAGUGUUCAGUAAAUGUAAUCAGUACCGUAAUGUACACUGUGUUUUAUUCAUGCCCGAAAAAAUAAUUUUAGUAUAACGCUCCCCCAGUAUAACUUUCCCUGUUUAAGCGAGUUUUAUAUAUAGAGGAUAUGCCAUGGCCCAACUGAAAAUACGGAAUUUACACAGGUCGAAGAGGCUGAAGAGUAAAAAGAAAUCUAAUAUUUUCAGUUGGGUAAUGGCAUAUUAGAUUUGUUUUUAAAUUGGGACUAUGAUGUGUCCUGCAGUGAUUGAUUUGUAUUGGUUGUUUGACAGAAAGAACAUUGUUUCCCAUGGGCACGGUAGUGGGAAUGGUGUCUUUUUGAAGCACAGUUGAGCUGCAGUGGUUGAGAAGGCAACAUGUCCUGUGGUGGAUUUGCUCACCCAGGCCCGAAUGAUGUAUAUAGACGUGUAUGUCUAGGUUGGGUUGCUCUGCUUCACUAUGGUUGUUAGGCGUGCUGUCUACUUUUGGAGCUGUACUAAUUGCCGGUUUCUGUUCCUCAUUUGUUGGUUUGGUAUCAGACAUAACAGGUGUUCAUUGUGUUGUGAUGCUCAUAACACUGUAUAUUUCACUACAAUUAGGGUACUACUAAGUGCUGCCUAGUUUUACUACUUGUGUAAUUGAGUAUUUUAAUGUGGUUUGAGUCUCCAAAAGGGUUCAGAAAUCUUUGAGAGGCUGUAUUGUUUGUUCUCGUUUUGGAGUGAAUCCUGUGAUGUUUUAAGUGGUUCAGUCAUAGAUUUCUAAACUGGUUGGUUUCACAGACCCCAAUUAGCAAUAACCUUGGACUACCUCACCAAAGCUGAUCGGGGCCAGUGAAACCAACAUGGUAAAUUCCCAUUAUUACCACUCACAACCGUAAAACUGUAGCCCCAGGGGUUGGGGAAAAGAAGUUGAAAAUUGCGUGCCAAGGGCAAAAGUUUUCCACUACAAGGUAAAAACUCUAGUCAAUUUUUGUUAUAAUAAACCUGUGAUGUAGAUUGAGUAACAAUUGAGUAACAUCAGCAGGCAAUAGUUCUUAGACUAUUGACUGCUAGAGUAACUAUUGGCCACUUUGUAACUUUGUAGCAGUAACAAUGUUUGAUCAUGUGACCAUGCAUUAGGCAAUUGGGAUGAUUUAAUAAUUUUGUGCCAUAGCCCAAUAAUCACCAGUGAUGUCACAGGUUUAAUAAAACCUAUAUUUACAUUAUAGUGAAAAGUAUUGUCCCUUGGGUUGAAAAAGUGACAUCCAGUGGGAUAUAUAUUCUUUAAGGUUUUAUUGAAGUCAGUAUUUGUAUAUUAAACACACAGUUAAUGUCUUUUUUCAGAUUCAGUAAGAUGAGGUUAACAAACGUGAUCUGGGCUUCCUGAGCGCAACCUCGAAGCGCUCCUACUGCAUACCUGCUUUGUUUUGGUAUCUGACACUUUUUUGUUGGUUUUUCAGGUCCUCUGUUUGGAAUGAGUGGGUGUAUGAGUGUUCGGUAGGGGUGGGGGAUUAGUUCAACACUGUAAAGCAUUGCUGACACAAUUAAAUAAAACUUAAACUAUUUAAGACUUCUUACAAGCCCCUAAAUGUGAUAUCCACCUUGUUUAUUUCUGGUGUUCAUGAGUUUUGAGUAUUAAUGUCUUUUGAGAAUCUAGCGCAUGGUCUUUUAAAAAAGUUGCUGUGAAUGUACCAGUUUUAGAAACUAGAUGUGGCGCUCCAUCCUAGAGCUUGCCUUGUUAACGUCUGUGAUUUAAUAUCCCAGAAGGAUACAGUAAUAGUACACAAACAGUAAGGAUUUAGACUGAAUCUUUGUCAUUGUCUUUUGUGUUAGGGGUAUGUAAAGAAAUGAAAGUGAAGUGCUGGAGUAACGCUACUGCCCUGGUUACAUGGCCUUGGGAGGUAGUAUAAGGGUCUAUGUGAAAGCAAGGCAAGCAAAGGAAGAGGUUUUUAACCUCUGUUCUUCCCUAUAAAGUAGCUACAAUGCUGCAUACUGUUGGUCCAAAAGGUCCUAAAAAAAGUACAUUUUACUUCUAAAUGUGCAUUUCAGUGUGGUGCAUAAGAGAUGAGUAUAAUGAAGCAUUACAUUAUUGAUAAAGCAUAGAGCACAAUUAGCUACAUUCCCUACUCCCCUAAUUAAACCUUUAAAAUAUUUAGAGCUUGUCAAAUAAUUCCAUAAGACAAUGACAAAGACUCAGUCUAAAUCCUUACUGUUUUUUUUUUUUUUUUACUACUACUAUAUCCCAGAUGCUAAACCCCUGUGUGGACUCUUUUGUUUAUGGUCAAUUCAGAUUUAAUAAAAUGCCUUUUUAAAGACCUAAAUGUAACCCCAAUAUGAAGCCCUUGAGUUCUGGAGCUACUCCAUCUUCUGCACACACGUGUCAUACAGGAAUCCUAAUACAGCACAGCUUCCUUUCUCUGCUGCCAGCUGGCUCCCCAUUGCCUUUUGCAGAGUUGUGGUUUGCUAUCUGUCUGAGCAGCAGGCAGGUCUAGUGCUUUAGCUGCUUUCAGAGCCUUGCUGACUGUGUGUGUGCACAGCGGGCCGGUACAAAGUCGCAUAAAACACACAUGCAACUCCCACCUGAGAUUUCUGUAAUUUCUGUAAGAUGUGACAUUUGAAAACUGCUUCCAGUCAGACAAACACCAAGAAGCUUUACCGUAAGGCUAAAACAAUAUUUAGUAUCCUUGACUUCAGCAGGUACGUGUAGAUUUUUGGCCGGUAGAUUAACAGCAGUUUUGUAAAGUGAUUGGGAGGCUGUUACUAAGGACCAGGCUCACAGUGUCUGCAGUCGGCCUGCAAAUCUUCUCUUUGAAAUGCACAGGAACAGGAAGUAACGCACUGCAAGUACAGAUGUGUUGCUGCUUUUGGUAACAGAAAUUUUAGCAAAACAUUUGCUCUCCUUAAAGCAAAAAAACAGCUGUCUGCUGUAACUAAAUGUGUUUCGAGCAGGCAGUGCCUUUUAUACUCACAAAACACUUUUUGUUUUGAUCAUUUUGUUUCACUUCUUCAUCUUCACUUAUGACCCUGCUACAGCACUAUAAGUUUGACUAAAGCACUUGUUUACUUUUCCCCAUUAACUUCCUGUGAAUGUGUUACAGGUAAUAGGACCCCUUCUAAGCCCAGUUAGUGGAGAGUUAUAUGAAACUGACUGUCGAUUUUAUGUCUACAUGCUUGUUUAAUGCAAACUGGAAAAGCCUUUGCGUCAAAAUUUUUGUUGUAACAAAAAUAAAGAAAGAAUGAGUCUCA